UACGGAGGGUGCAAGCGUUACCCGGAAUCACUGGGCGUAAAGGGCGUGUAGGCGGACCCGUAAGUCCGUUUUAAAAGACCGCCGCUCAACGGCGGGCGUGGGCUGGGUACUGUGGGUCUGGACCUCUGGAGAGAGAACUGGAAUUCCUGGUGUAGCGGUGGAAUGCGUAGAUACCAGGAGGAACACCGAUGGCGAAGGCAGGUUCUUGGACAGAAGGUGACGCUGAGGCGCGAAAGUGUGGGGAGCGAACCGG
This 253-nucleotide ribosomal RNA is filed under the name uncultured bacterium. Its description in RNAcentral is "partial 16S ribosomal RNA". It matches the Rfam family "Bacterial small subunit ribosomal RNA", at positions 524 to 776 of the family's 1533-position model. The record is from RNAcentral.